Bombina bombina (fire-bellied toad) is the source of this 498-nucleotide long non-coding RNA. RefSeq lists it as uncharacterized. Lineage: Eukaryota; Metazoa; Chordata; Amphibia; Anura; Bombinatoridae. The record is from RefSeq and is a predicted model, not a curated record. The transcript has 3 exons.
GACGUCUUACAGCUGCAGUCUGCAGACAAGAGUUCCAGAAGUAUCACUGGUUUGUUUUGCAGACGUUCUCUCUAGCCUGUACACUGCCAGAACAGAAGAGAUGCAUAAAAAAGCUGAAGGAAGGAAGAAAACACAAGGGUUACCUCCGGGUCACUGGACAUGCAGAGCUUGCAGAUUUCUCAAUUAUACACGGCCUUGGCAAUAGUGCAUACUGGGUAACACGCCAUAGUUCCAGACAUGAUCUGAGAGAAGCGCGUAGAGGUAUUCGGAUCACCUGAUCAAAUUUAUGAACCCAGCGUAAAGCGCCCUGUGGUCACUUGUGGGAUCGAGAGACGCCAGUAGUGGCACUCUGUGAUGGGGAUUCCUCUCUAAUAGUGGACACUCUUGGUGCACAUGCUGGUGCUUUGAAAUAUACAGGCUUGAUUUUAUACCCAUUAUAUAAAGUGUGGUUUUAAUAUGUGCAUUGGCUUGUUGUUAAUAAACUACACUUGAUCUGUU